RNAcentral lists this ribosomal RNA (198 nucleotides) under uncultured bacterium. RNAcentral's name for it is "partial 16S ribosomal RNA". It matches the Rfam family "Bacterial small subunit ribosomal RNA", at positions 334 to 524 of the family's 1533-position model. The record is from RNAcentral.
UGGGCCUACGGGAGGCAGCAGUGGGGAAUAUUGCGCAAUGGGCGAAAGCCUGACGCAGCAACGCCGCGUGGGGGAUGAAGGUUUUCGGAUUGUAAACCCCUUUCGAUCGGAACGAAUCUCCUCGUGGUAAACAAUCACGAGGAUCGACGGUACCGAGAGAAGAAGCCACGGCUAACUCUGUGCCAGCAGCGCGGUAAU